Molecule: non-coding RNA, 45 nt
Filed under: Schistosoma margrebowiei
Lineage: Eukaryota; Metazoa; Platyhelminthes; Trematoda; Strigeidida; Schistosomatidae
Source: RNAcentral
AUCCAGCUGAUGAGUCCCAAACAGAACGAAACGCGCGUCCUGGAU